This is a long non-coding RNA of Oncorhynchus tshawytscha (Chinook salmon), 2318 nucleotides long. Lineage: Eukaryota; Metazoa; Chordata; Actinopteri; Salmoniformes; Salmonidae. The record is from Ensembl.
UUUCCAUUACACUGCCUUCUUACCAUCAGCGUGGAAAAUGAUUUAACAAGAGGAAUAGUCUAGCUAAUGUGGUUCCUUGUUCCUGAGAAAGAAGCCAACAUGUAAACACUGACAUGGACAUUAUCAGCCCAUCAUGACUGGAACUGAGAUGGUCAGACUGGGCUAUGAUAUGACGCAUCACAAAUGGCUUCCUAUUCCCUAUAUAGUACACUGCUUUUGACCAGAGCCCUAUAGGCCCUAGUGGUAAAACGUUUUGCACUAUAUAGGAAAUCGGAUGUCAUUUGUGACCCUAUACUACUAUGUACUCAGUACUGUACUAGCAUGGCAACCUGUUCCCUGUUCUGAUGAGGGAAUUAGUGGGAUUCAUGCAAAAGAUAAACACGUGUCAAAUAAAACACAAAGACUACAUUUACACAGGCAGCACAAUUCUGAUAUUUUGCCAGUAAUUGGUCUUUUGACCAAUCAGAUCAGAUCCUUUGCCAAUAAUUAGGUACAUUUUCAGAAUUGGGCUGCCUGUAUAAACACAGACAAAGUUUCAUGACCACAACAUUUGAGUCACCACCUCUGUAGAUAUUUUGGUAUUUACUCAACCAACCUCUCCAAAACCUUAUUUAUUUGGAUGACACUUUGCUCUCUGGUGUUGUUGCGUGUAUUGUUAAUGCUUGUUGCAUUAAUAUCUUCUCCCUCUUCUGUCCCUCUUGCCUCUGCCUUACUGUUGUUGAACUUAGCCCUGGCGGGUAAGAGAACACUCGUGUGUGUGUGUGUACGUUCAUACGCUCGUGUGUGUGUGUGUGUGUGUGUGUGUGUGUGUGUGUGUGUGUGUGUGUGUGUGUGUGUGUGUGUGUGUGUGUGUGUGUGUGUGUAUGUGUGUGUCUUUAGACCUAACUUCUCACAGAGUUGUCAAUCAGUUGUAAUUUGAUGCUGAAAAGCAGGCUAUGGGUUGGGUUGUGCAGUGGGGUGGGACAAUGGAGUCCAUCUGUAUCUCUGGUAACAGUCAACUUCUAAUGCAUCAUCUGAUCUGGGGCGCUUUACAAAUGGCACCCCAUUCCCUAUAUAGUGUACUACUUUAGACCAGAGGGCCCUGGUCAGAAGUAUAGUAUAUAAGAAAUAGGGUGCCAUUUGGGACUCAGACAGGGUUCAUUCACCUGUUGUCUGUUCACUGAACCACUUUAGCCUUCUCAUCCUAAUGCAUUUCUUCCAUUCACCGUACUGACACAACACCUCUUUACCAUCGAUAAAGUGGGUCUUAUAGUGGGCCAUGUAGAGGUCUUAUAGUGGGCCAUGUAGUGGUCUUAUAGUGGGCCAUGUAGUGGUCUUAUAGUGGGCCAUGUAGUGGUCUAAUAGUGGGCCAUGUAGUGGUCUUAUAGUGGGCCAUGUAGAGGUCUUAUAGUGGGCCAUGUAGUGGUCUUAUAGUGGGCCAUGUAUCGGUCUUAUAGUGGGCCAUGUAGCGGUUUUAUAGUGGGCCAUGUAGUGGUCUUAUAGUGGGCCAUGUAGCGGUCUUAUAGUGGGCCGUGUAGUGGUCUUAUAGUGGGCCAUGUAGCGGUCUUAUAGUGGGCCAUGUAGCGAUCUUAUAGUGGGCCAUGUAGUGGUCUUAUAGUGGGCCAUGUAGCGAUCUUAUAGUGGGCCAUGUAGAGGUCUUAUAGUGGGCCAUGUAUCGGUCUUAUAGCGGGCCAUGUAGUGGUCUUAUAGCGGGCCAUGUAGUGGUCUUAUAGUGGGCCAUGUAGCGGUCUUAUAGUGGUCCAUGUAGCGGUCUUAUAGUGGGCCAUGUAGCGGUCUUAUAGUGGGCCAUGUAGCGAUCUUAUAGUGGGCCAUGUAGUGGUCUUAUAGUGGGCCAUGUAGCAAGUGGUCCAUGUAGCGGUCUUAUAGUGGGCCAUGUAGCGGUCUUAUAGUGGACCAUGUAGCGGUCUUAUAGUGGACCAUGUAGCGGUCUUAUAGUGGACCAUGUAGCGAUCUUAUAGUGGACCAUGUAGUGCUUGUGUAUGUUCAGAUCUGUGUUUGUGUGGCCAUAAUAAUGUGUUUGUCUACGACAUUGUUUCAAACAACCCUCUGAAUCCUAAAUAUAACACAUUGACUUCUUCCUAAAUGGGAUCUGUGCACUUUUGACACUUUUGACAUGAUUUAGGAAUAAUGCUGAAUUCCAAAUAACUCCAUUAUAGAAAGUAUUGUUUAUUCCAGAUGCUGACAUCUUCCUAACAUAACCUCUAACCCUCUCUAGACCCAAUGUACAAUUUCAAGGAUAUGUUUGACUUGAUUUAGCCCCUGGUGACAGUCUCUACAAACAUUUCAAAUUCCUUGGGUGUUUUGUCAUUGUGAUUUAA